Molecule: ribosomal RNA, 484 nt
Filed under: uncultured bacterium
Lineage: Bacteria
Description: partial 16S ribosomal RNA
Rfam family: Bacterial small subunit ribosomal RNA
Source: RNAcentral
AUUGAACGCUGGCGGCAGGCCUAACACAUGCAAGUCGAGCGGAUGAAGGGAGCUUGCUCCUGGAUUCAGCGGCGGACGGGUGAGUAAUGCCUAGGAAUCUGCCUCGUAGUGGGGGAUAACGUCCGGAAACGGGCGCUAAUACCGCAUACGUCCUGAGGGAGAAAGUGGGGGAUCUUCGGACCUCACGCUAUCAGAUGAGCCUAGGUCGGAUUAGCUAGUUGGUGGGGUAAAGGCCUACCAAGGCGACGAUCCGUAACUGGUCUGAGAGGAUGAUCAGUCACACUGGAACUGAGACACGGUCCAGACUCCUACGGGAGGCAGCAGUGGGGAAUAUUGGACAAUGGGCGAAAGCCUGAUCCAGCCAUGCCGCGUGUGUGAAGAAGGUCUUCGGAUUGUAAAGCACUUUAAGUUGGGAGGAAGGGCAGUAAGUUAAUACCUUGCUGUUUUGACGGUACCAACAGAAUAAGCACCGGCUAACUUCGUG